This 781-nucleotide ribosomal RNA is filed under the name Scleranthelia microsclera. RNAcentral's name for it is "partial large subunit ribosomal RNA". Lineage: Eukaryota; Metazoa; Cnidaria; Anthozoa; Malacalcyonacea; Clavulariidae. The record is from RNAcentral.
AAACCGUUGAAAGGGAAGCGAAUGGAGUUAGCAAUUCGCCUCGCAAGAUUCAGUCUUCCGAGUUCCGUGACGCGCGUGCUCUCGAUCUUUGUAGACGAGACGUGCGCGGACGCGGGACCUGGGCGGCGCACUUCCGACAGGCGAGCGUCAACGUCGGUUGGCCGCGGGUUACAAGGCCGCGAGGAAGGUAGGUCGCCUCUUGCGGCGACUGUUAAUCCUCGCGAUCGCAUGACUCGCGGGCGACCGUGGCGUCCCGACCCGGGCCUCCCUCUUCUGAGGGGGGCUGGUGUCCUGUUCUGUUGAUUCGGUUGUCGACCGUGGCGGAAGGCACGCCCGUGCGCUCGAACCGCUUCCGGUCAACAGGGCGGUGAUUACGCACCACGCGUCGAGGUCGUUGACCACCAUACCGCUCUUUUCCACCCGUCUUGAAACACGGACCAAGGAAUCUAACAAGUGCGCGAGUCUCCCGGUGAUCGAAACCUGUGGGCACAAUGAAAGUAAAAGCGGCCUSCGCCGCUUAGGUGAGAAGUGUGCUCCGCACACCGCAUCAUCGACCGACCUAUUCUACUCUUAGAAAGGUUUGAGUAAGAGCGUACCUGUUGGGACCCGAAAGAUGGUGAACUAUGCCUGAAUAGGGUGAAGCCAGCGGAAACACUGGUGGAAGCUCGUAGCGAUUCUGACGUGCAAAUCGAUCGUCGAAUUUGGGUAUAGCGGCGAAAGACUAAUCGAACCAUCUAGUAGCUGGUUCCCUCCGAAGUUUCCCUUAGGAUAGCUGGAGCUC